Molecule: long non-coding RNA, 1355 nt
Filed under: Cottoperca gobio
Lineage: Eukaryota; Metazoa; Chordata; Actinopteri; Perciformes; Bovichtidae
Description: lncRNA (ENSCGOG00000016102.1)
Source: RNAcentral
AGACCGAUUUUUGACACUUUCAUUUGAAAUGAGCAGGGUUUGACUGUGACCAACGUUCAAGGCCUCAUGGGUGUCCAUCUACAAGAUCUGAAGUUGUUUGAGAACGUUACCGUGGUUAAGACUUGGAGAAACAUGCAAACACAGUCAGACCUGGAUCGAGCAGGUGUGGGCCUAACCACCAACAGAACCGACCCGACCACGGCACCACCCAGCUCCAACGACAGCACAAAAGCUGCUGCAUCAACUGCAGCCAGCACAGUGAAAACAAGGAAAACCAGGUGGCUCGAGUGCAACCCUGGCGCCGACCGUGCAAACAACACAAGAUCAGCAGCUGUGCAGGUUUUGAGUGGUUCAAAACUUAAACAAACUUCAAGAAUACACCUCUGAAGAACUUCUGUUACCUCUGAUUCACGAAGAGUCAUGUUCAUUCCAUUUGACAACUGGUUGAAGAUUUCUAUUGAGAAAGAAAAAAUUAAUUCUUAUUACAUUACUCCAGAAACUGUAAAGGCAAGGAGACGUGUACGUCACACGCCAUGACAGAAGUUCAGAAUGUCCCUUGUUCGCACGACCACGUCAUCUUUACCAGUAGUUGCUGCACUCCUGUGUUUUCUCAUGUUAAAACAAUGGUGUGCCGCCGGUAGAAUACACUAAGUUACCAAAGCCCACCCAGUUGUGCAUUGGAGAGACCUUCUGUCGGGAAGGGUUGGCGCCGAAAUCGUCAGCAAAAUUCAAGGAACAGCAAGAGACCUAAUUAUGUCUAACCCUGAAAUGUUCAGGAAUAUUUCCUGCAUGGGCUCAUGUGUGAAUGACAGCAAUAAUCGAUACUCCGGGAUCUUUACCGUCAAUUUCCCACCACAAGACCCAAGGAACAUCUCAUCUCAGGGAAAAUGCCAGUACGGCUGUGUUCUGAACGAAAGUUCAGGACAAGCACGUCCAUCUGACGAAAGACACCUGUGGGGCGAGCAAACCCAUGACAGGACUCUGCUGAUGACGUAUUUGAGUCGGUUUAACAUAACAUAACGUAAAAAACAGUUCCUCGCCUGUCAUGUUCCUGAAAAGGAUUGAACACAUCAUCCUCAAAGUCAAGAAUAAAAUUUCAAGAAAAGCAUUUAGGUACUUUUUCUGUGCAGUUGCCCUAAUGUACUUACGGUUCAUGCACUCGAAGCGAAGGAUGAGAGAGAUGAAGCUCUCCAGUGUUAUGUGUCCAGAGGAGGACCCGUAGCGCAGGGCCAGCAAGUUCAGCAUGUCAUCGUUGAUCCUCUUACCUGAACAACAUACAUAGGACAAAAGUUUAGGUUGGUUUAAGUAGUUAAAUGUUCAUCAUCCAUGUCAGUCGCACACAAAAGCAGGGGAUU